ACGAACGCUGGCGGCAUGCCUAACACAUGCAAGUCGAACGAGACCUUCGGGUCUAGUGGCGCACGGGUGCGUAACGCGUGGGAACCUGCCCUUAGGUUCGGAAUAACUCCCCGAAAGGGGUGCUAAUACCGGAUAAUGUCUUCGGACCAAAGAUUUAUCGCCUUUGGAUGGGCCCGCGUUGGAUUAGCUAGUUGGUAGGGUAAAAGCCUACCAAGGCGACGAUCCAUAGCUGGUCUGAGAGGAUGAUCAGCCACACUGGGACUGAGACACGGCCCAGACUCCUACGGGAGGCAGCAGUGGGGAAUAUUGGACAAUGGGCGAGAGCCUGAUCCAGCAAUGCCGCGUGAGUGAUGAAGGCCUUAGGGUUGUAAAGCUCUUUUACCCGGGAUGAUAAUGACAGUACCGGGAGAAUAAGCUCCGGCUAACUCCGUG
Molecule: ribosomal RNA, 432 nt
Filed under: uncultured bacterium
Lineage: Bacteria
Description: partial 16S ribosomal RNA
Rfam family: Bacterial small subunit ribosomal RNA
Source: RNAcentral